GUAACUUGUGCUCGCUUCCAAUACUAAAAUUGGAACGAUACAGAGAAUAUUAGCAUGGCCCCUGCGCAAGGAUGACAUGCAUCCUGGUAACUUUUUU
Molecule: small nuclear RNA, 97 nt
Filed under: Castor canadensis (American beaver)
Lineage: Eukaryota; Metazoa; Chordata; Mammalia; Rodentia; Castoridae
Source: RNAcentral